UACUCUCAGCAUGGAACACACUCAUACUACAGUGGGACCAAAGAAGAGCGGCCGGCCGCAUCUAUACAAUGUACAGGAGGAUCACUACGGGUGUCAGAAGUACAGUACAUUUUCAGACCAGAACAAUUUGAGUGUUUGUUACAUUUUUUACAGCGAGUUUCCAGAGCGACCGUCAUUACGCGCUAAUUUGGCUCCAACAUUAAAAUGUUCAACUACCGAAAAUGACUUGUAGAGCAAACAUCAUCUGCGCUGGUACAAGUUGUUACCCUGUAAUUCAGCGGGGAAGAUGAUGAUGUGAAAAGUCGUCAGAUCCAGGGUGGUGCAGGUGACACGGCAGGAGACUUGGCACCGGAUCUCACCAUCUUCUCGAGGAUGGGUGAUUGUGGGGGCAGGCCCG
Molecule: long non-coding RNA, 397 nt
Organism: Hyla sarda
Lineage: Eukaryota; Metazoa; Chordata; Amphibia; Anura; Hylidae
Exons: 3
Source: RefSeq, a predicted model, not a curated record